GGGACUAUAGCUCAGUUGGUUAGAGCGCACGCCUGAUAAGCGUGAGGUCGAUGGUUCGAAUCCAUCUAGUCCCACCA
This 77-nucleotide transfer RNA is filed under the name Desulfocucumis palustris. Its description in RNAcentral is "tRNA-Ile". It matches the Rfam family "tRNA". Rfam says of the family: Transfer RNA (tRNA) molecules are approximately 80 nucleotides in length. Their secondary structure includes four short double-helical elements and three loops (D, anti-codon, and T loops). Further hydrogen bonds mediate the characteristic L-shaped molecular structure. tRNAs have two regions of fundamental functional importance: the anti-codon, which is responsible for specific mRNA codon recognition, and the 3' end, to which the tRNAs corresponding amino acid is attached (by aminoacyl-tRNA synthetases). tRNAs cope with the degeneracy of the genetic code in two manners: having more than one tRNA (with a specific anti-codon) for a particular amino acid; and 'wobble' base-pairing, i.e. permitting non-standard base-pairing at the 3rd anti-codon position. The record is from RNAcentral. Lineage: Bacteria; Bacillati; Bacillota; Clostridia; Eubacteriales; Desulfocucumaceae.